Molecule: long non-coding RNA, 240 nt
Filed under: Physcomitrium patens
Lineage: Eukaryota; Viridiplantae; Streptophyta; Bryopsida; Funariales; Funariaceae
Description: long non-coding RNA (PPAT_LNC000137)
Source: RNAcentral
AAAAGAAACAUGAAGAAAUAUGAAAGAAAUAUUUUAGAAAAAUCUUAAAUAAAUCUUAUAUAAACCUUAAUCAAAUCCUACUUUAAUCCUAAUUGAAAUCUUAAUGGAUCUUAACUAAUUCUCAAGUCAAAUCCUAAUUAAAUCCUAAAUCAAAUCCUAGACAAAAUCUAAAUCUUCAAUUAAAUCCUAAAAUUUUUUUAAAUAAAUCCUAAACCUUAAAUCAAAUCCUAGACAAAUCCU